UACGGGGGGUGCGAGCGUUGUCCGGAAUCACUGGGCGUAAAGGGCGCGUAGGUGGUUUGAUAAGGGUGUGGUGAAAGUCCGGGGCUCAACCCCGGAUCUGCCGUGCCGACUGUCAAACUCGAGGGCUGUAGAGGCAGACGGAAUUCCGGGUGUAGCGGUGGAAUGCGUAGAGAUCCGGAGGAAGACCGGUGGCGAAGGCGGUCUGCUGGCCCGAUACUGACGCUGAGGCACGAAAGCGUGGGGAGCAAACAGG
This 253-nucleotide ribosomal RNA is filed under the name uncultured bacterium. RNAcentral's name for it is "partial 16S ribosomal RNA". It matches the Rfam family "Bacterial small subunit ribosomal RNA", at positions 524 to 776 of the family's 1533-position model. The record is from RNAcentral.